Molecule: unclassified non-coding RNA, 3644 nt
Filed under: Hevea brasiliensis (rubber tree)
Lineage: Eukaryota; Viridiplantae; Streptophyta; Magnoliopsida; Malpighiales; Euphorbiaceae
Source: RNAcentral
AAUACAGGCAACUAUAAUUAAAAGCAAAGACUAUGAGGGGCUAUUACAUUGAUGCUUGUUUUUAAUUUAUUUUUAUUUUAGAACUUUCAUUUUCUGUAAAGUAGAAAAGAGAUUUUAACAAGUUAAAAAAAGAAAUUUUUUUAGUUACCACUCACCAGGUUGUGGUUGGGUUUCAAAAUGUCAAUUUCAACUUAGUUUUGUUAAGAAAAUGGAAAAAUUAUUCAUUACUCCCUACGAACAUAUUCUCAUGGCUUGGGUAGAGCACAGCAGGCUCCUCAAGGGCCAGAUAAGGGAGACUAAAUUGUUGCAAUGCGUUUAUCUGAGUCUCAGCUAGAACAUACUCCAUCUACUUCACCGAUCAGGCGUUCAUCAUCACAUCAGUGGCUCUGGGGUACCUGUUGGCCAAGUCUACCACAAAAUUUAACCAAGGUUCAUUGUUGGUGAAUGCUGCUAGCCGGCUACUUGCACAGAUGAUAUAUUGUCAUGUUUGUCCUCUUCUUGAAAGGGUUGUGGAGUAUAGAUGGCCUGGUCACAUAAAUUAUGCGAGGCUCCAUUUGAAUAAAUAUCAAUUGUUCUUAAAAGUUACCGAUAGUUAUUGAAUCACAUGCCUAGAAAUCCAUUCCCAUAUCAGUACACAAAAACCUGGAUUCAUCUUAAAUGCAUUUGUUUAAAUCAAAACAUCAGUAACUACCACAAACAAACAUCAUAUAUUUCUAACCACACUCGAAAGUUGAGCAGCAUUUGGUUUCAGAUUCACUCUAGGUGCUAGGAUUAAGUCCGUAGAACCUCAAAUGCCUACAGUGCACCAGUUCUUAGAGCAUGGUCUAAAUCAGCAAUCAGAUCAUUCACAUCCUCUAUCCCCACAGAGAUGCGAAUAAGAUCUUCGGUAAGGCCUCUGGCUUCUCGGACUGCUGCUGGUAUACUUGCAUGGGACAUAAAGCAAGGCAUGCUUAUGAGGGACUUGACACUCCCAAAACUGACAGUUAUACUGAAAUACUUGGUAGUCUCAACAAUGUGCUUUGAGAGUUCCAGUGAUCCUGUUAAAAAGCUAAGCACGGAACCUGCACCCUUUGCCUGAGAAUAGUGCAAGUCACGUCCAGGAUGACCAGGAAGACCCGCAUAGUUAACUUUCUUCACUCGCGGAUGUGAAGCAAGAAACUCAGCAAUCUUCUGUGCAUUGUCCUGUUGUUUCUCUACACGCAAGGCCAUGGUCUUAAUACCUCGUAAACAAAUCCAACAGUCAAAUGGUGCUAAUCCAGAGCCUUCUGCAUUUUGUAGGAAAUACAAAUCUCUCGCCAAGCUAGUAAACAUAGGAAGCCACCCAUGUGUAGCAGGAGGGAAGAGAGUUACAGAAAGAGAUACAUAAAUUCAUAAAAAAGCAGUAAAGUCUAUAGAUUAUUCAUUGAAAUAGCUUUAUUAAGAAAGAUCAACCACCAUAAACAAAUAAAAAAGGUACAGAAGAAAGGUUUCCUUAGUUAACAUGCAUGUGAAACAAUGCCAAGAAAAACUAUAAAAGUGAUGGUAAAAACCUCAUCAGUGUGGAUUUUUAAUCUCUCAGAAUUAGAAAUGACUUAAUAAAAGAAGUACAAGAUGAGAAAUAAUAGUAUAUAACAAUUCGAAUACAGAUACAAAAAGAUUAGCUAAAACCUGAAAAAUUAUGAAAGUAAUAAGGGAAAUGGAACACAUCCAUUAUAUUUGCAGUAUGAAUACGUACUUAGAGCAACAAACCUUUCCCCUUUUACUGCAAGCACACCUGCCAUGACAUCACUAUGCCCAGCCAUAAAUUUAGUAGCAGAGUGCAUCACUAUGUCUGCCCCAAGUUCCAAUGGCUGUGACAAUACAGGGGACAUAAUACUAUUGUCUACCAAGACAAGAGCACCAUGUGUGUGAGCCAUCUUUGCAAUUUUCCGAAUAUCAGAAAUUUGUUGACGAGGGUUAGUUGGGCUCUCUAGCCACACAAGCUUUGUCCAGGGGCCAAUUGCAGAUGCAACCUCAUCCAGAUUGCUAGUAUUUACUCGUUUGACCACAACUCCAGAUUUUGGGGUUACUUGAGACAGCAAUCUAUCAGAACCACCAUACAAAUCAUCUCCAGCAACAAUUUCCUGACCUAAGAUAUAAAUUGCACCAGUUACAAGAAAUUUCAGAAGAAUCAAGGGUUAUCAAUGAAAAUAGAUAAAAAAAGGGUAACCCAGUGGCCAGUGCACAAAGUAUCCCGCACUUGUGGGCUCUAGGGAGGGUUAAUGAUCAAUGAAUACAGAUUAUGAAAGCAAAAAUUUUUGAAAAGCAUGAAUUUGUACAAACAGCUAUAAACAUGCACAUGGUGUGGACCUCAUAAGUCAUAAUGACCAAGGCUAAGUCAAUGGAGCUGACAAGUCACAACCACUAAGGCUAUGUUAUCUGGACUGACCUGACAUGCUUACACACAAACAUAGGAGCUGAACACUCCAAAAUAAGGCAAAAUCUUCUCAACAUUGACAAGUCAAACACUUGGGCCAAUUUACCCAAACUAGGACAAGAUACACCUUAGCCACCUAGGAAAUGUGCCAGAUAAAGCUUAAAACCUGGGAAUAUAGUGGUGAUCAUAGAAUAUAAAAUAUAUUUUUCAUUUUUCAAAAUCAAAUAAGUAAUUACUGUUGUAAGUUUAGAAGCCAAAACAAAACGCAAAUGAAAAUGGCAUGAAUCUUUCUGUUCUCCUUUGUAAUAGCUUUUUGUUUCUACUUCUCCAUCAACUAGUUCUACAACCUCAUAAAUAUAGGAAUGUGUGCAUAUAUAUUCACAAUGUAUUAUACACCUUAAUUUUAUUUUUGUUGUAUUUGUUUCAUACCAAAAAAAAAAAGCUCAAUAAAGAUACUUCUAUUUAAAAGAAAAUAUUAAAUGCAAACAAAUCCUUACUGUGUCAACGUCUAACUUUCUAAACAUUACCAUAUCAAUUUAUCCCUGGUCAUAUUGCAGUGGUACACAUCUCCAUAAACAGACUUCUGAACUUUGAUGUCAUUGACUAAUAAAGUGAAGCUAUGUCAAGGAUAUUACUGCUAUAAUACAGUCCAGAGUAUAAUUGAACCCAUGUUCAAGAAUGUCUACAGUACCUAUGAACUUAUGGUCUUAUAUGUCAAUUCUUCCACUGAAAAUUCAAAAUGAAGAUAAUAACUUGAUUCACGAGAUAAAUAAAAGUAUGCGAGCGUACAAGCAGAAUAGACAAAAAAAAAAGAGAGUGAAGCACCAGUUCCAACAAGAUGAGUAACUGCAGCCAAAGCAGCCAUUCCACUUGUGAAGCACAAUGCUCGAUCUGCUUUAUCUAGCUUUGCCAAGAGGCUUUCCAAAGCAUCCCUGGUGGGAUUUCCACUUCUGGUGUAAUCAUAUGGGCCAUUUUCUAUUGCUGAUGGCUGCUUAAAUGUAGCUGUUUGGUAAAGCGGGGUACUCAUUGCAUCAUAAGGAUCGAACUUAUUCUCAAAGUUCAUCAAUAUUGUUGAAAUACUAGGCUCCCUAAUAUCUAUUUCACUUAAGCCCUCUGUUACACAAUCAACUAAAGCUGAAGUGGUCACAUCCAUUUCUUUGUCUGCUGAGCAAUUCAACUCAAAUUUUUUUGCUAAAGUUAAACACUUCCCUCCCAAAUUACAUUCCUUUCUCACCCAAAAAUUUUUUGG